This 492-nucleotide ribosomal RNA is filed under the name uncultured bacterium. Its description in RNAcentral is "partial 16S ribosomal RNA". It matches the Rfam family "Bacterial small subunit ribosomal RNA", at positions 28 to 507 of the family's 1533-position model. The record is from RNAcentral.
GAUGAACGCUAGCUACAGGCUUAACACAUGCAAGUCGAGGGGAAACGACAUCGAAAGCUUGCUUUUGAUGGGCGUCGACCGGCGCACGGGUGAGUAACGCGUAUCCAACCUGCCCAUCACUUGGGGAUAACCUUGCGAAAGUAAGACUAAUACCCAAUGAUAUCUCUAGAAGACAUCUGAAAGAGAUUAAAGAUUUAUCGGUGAUGGAUGGGGAUGCGUCUGAUUAGCUUGUUGGCGGGGUAACGGCCCACCAAGGCAACGAUCAGUAGGGGUUCUGAGAGGAAGGUCCCCCACAUUGGAACUGAGACACGGUCCAAACUCCCACGGGAGGCAGCAGUGAGGAAUAUUGGUCAAUGGGCGAGAGCCUGAACCAGCCAAGUAGCGUGCAGGAAGACGGCCCUAUGGGUUGUAAACUGCUUUUAUAAGGGAAUAAAGUGAGAGUCGUGACUCUUUUUGUAUGUACCUUAUGAAUAAGGACCGGCUAAUUCCGUG